GGGCGACGACUCAGCCGGUGACGAGGCCGAUCUGAUACGUCGGUAUGGCGCGGUUCAACUCCGUGGUCGCCCACCA
RNAcentral lists this transfer RNA (76 nucleotides) under Micromonosporaceae bacterium. RNAcentral's name for it is "tRNA-Ile". The record is from RNAcentral. Lineage: Bacteria; Bacillati; Actinomycetota; Actinomycetes; Micromonosporales; Micromonosporaceae.